Molecule: long non-coding RNA, 868 nt
Organism: Siniperca chuatsi (mandarin fish)
Lineage: Eukaryota; Metazoa; Chordata; Actinopteri; Centrarchiformes; Sinipercidae
Exons: 3
Source: RefSeq, a predicted model, not a curated record
GCCUCAGUCUCCCUCAGCCACUGCCACGCCAACUCCCUCGGAUCCCUCAACCCUCUCCAUCUCCGUUCCCCACUGCCCUUUACAAUAACUGCCCCUUUUAUCACGGUUUGUCUCUGAGUCUGCUUCUGGGUACAAAUCUGCAAAUCCUAACGGAAACACUUUCAACACAACUGCUUCACAGUGAUUCUGUGCUUCAGAAAGCUUCGUUUCCCCCAUAACUACUCAGAACCGCUGUGUUCCUCUUGACGUCGACCUUCAAAGCCUCCAACUCGCCUUCCUCUUCAUCAGUGGGAUGAUGCUGCCCUCUGCUGGACUGGAAGAAUUCAACAAUCUGAACAUUUUCAUAAAGGUGUAGGCCUCACAAAACCUUUAAGGGCACAUUCACUAAAUGUAAAGAGAGCAGGUUUGUCAGGCUGUGAUACACUAUAUGGCCAAAAGUAUGUGGACAGCUGACAGAGUAACGUGACUAUGACAUCAUGUCCACUCUUCUGGUUUCAGUCUUUCCAGCAGGUGUUGAACCUGCUGCAGGGAUUCGCUCCCAUUCAGACUCCAGAGCAUCAGUGAGGUCCAGCACUGAUGUCAGUGAUCAGGUCUGGAUCACAGUCGGCGUUCCAGUUCAUCCCAAAGAUUCUUCACGGAGAGGGAAUGUACCACACACCGGAAGUGACGCGGUAAAUUCGUGUUGUGGUUGUGGAGUUAAUGGCGUAAAUAAAGUUUAUGGUGACCGAACAUGGACUGUGGCCGGGGGAUGUUUUGCCCGUUUUGUGGCAAACACAUGAGCAGCUUAACGCGGUUUUGCUUUACGUGUGGUCGGUGUUUGGAGUUUCUAAAGGACGCGGACCAGACGGAAACACAGGGGACGUCUCGA